UACAGAGGUCUCAAGCGUUGUUCGGAUUCAUUGGGCGUAAAGGGUGCGUAGGUGGCGCUGUAAGUCGGGUGUGAAAUUUCGGAGCUUAACUCCGAAACUGCAUUCGAUACUGCGGUGCUUGAGGACUGGAGAGGAGACUGGAAUUCAUGGUGUAGCAGUGAAAUGCGUAGAGAUCAUGAGGAAGACCAGUGGCGAAGGCGGGUCGCUGGACAGAACCUGACACUGAGGCACGAAGGCCAGGGGAGCAAACGGG
This 253-nucleotide ribosomal RNA is filed under the name uncultured bacterium. Its description in RNAcentral is "partial 16S ribosomal RNA". It matches the Rfam family "Bacterial small subunit ribosomal RNA", at positions 524 to 776 of the family's 1533-position model. The record is from RNAcentral.